AAAAAACUUAUUCAUAAUAAAAUACAUAUUAAAUAUAUUAGUAAAAUAAAUGCAGAAGUGAAGUUGCUCUCAUUCAUUUUUCCUAAUUAAAAAAAUGUUUCAGAUUUAGAAAACUACUUUUGUACAGUAGAAUGAAAACCAUUUAAAAAUGGUUUCAUUCUAGAUGGAGGAGCAGGUGGCAUCAUAUGUGCAGACACAUUGAGGUCAUGUCACAAUCUGAAUACUACUGAAUACUGUUUAAUCACUCUGUUACUGGAUGCUUUUGAUUGCUGCAUUUAUUUUAUUCCACUAGUAGAUAUAGUAAACAAUAACAGAAUAUUUUAUUUUAUUUAAUUUUUUCUCCCUCCACUAGAAGAUACAGUCCUUGACAUGUAAACAAUAACAUAGUUUUCUCUAUGGGUUAUUAUAUACACAGUUGUUAGGUAAGCAGGUGUUUGGCAUCAUAGAUAUUACUAUAUAGUGUAUUUUUGCACAUUUUGAGCACUGUAAUGAUAAAUCGCCCUGUAGGACUGGAGCUAUUUGUUUUAUAAUUUACAGUAAGCAAUGAUAAAGCAAUAUUUAACAAGCACAGUGUAAAAUGAUGUACCUGCUAGAAUCUUAUGCUAAGGGGAGUCAUUAUUGACCUGUAGCUGUGCUGAGCACCAGUGGUGUGUUCUGUGUAAGACAUGAUGUGUUAGUUAUAAGGUGUGAUGAGGUCCCUGUACGUAUUGCUGAUAACCUGUUAUCUCAUGCUGCCCCUCUGACUCCUCACUGCACCAUGGGUAGUCAUGCAAAACCAGAGCUGCCUUUUAAAAGAAGAACAGGGAUUACCAUGCUAAAUCAAUAUAAACCAACCUACAAAACCCUACUGUGAUGCUUUCUCUGGCUUUAUUAUUACAGUCUCAUGUCAUUCGUGUCUUUCUUUCUUUUUAUUAUUUAUAACGCAGGCUCUGGUUCAUGAUGAAAUUUUGCAUUGCAUAUUGCAUUUCUCUUUCUCACUGUGUGUGUGUGUGUGUGUAUACACACACACACAUACACAGAUUGUGCAUCAUUAAAACAUGAAUUGAAUAUGCCUUUUAAAUUCCAAUUAAACUGAAUUAAAUUUGGAUUGAUGAAGCAAAC
This is a long non-coding RNA of Cyprinus carpio carpio, 1101 nucleotides long. The record is from Ensembl. NCBI's taxonomy places the organism in Eukaryota, Metazoa, Chordata, Actinopteri, Cypriniformes, Cyprinidae.